RNAcentral lists this ribosomal RNA (459 nucleotides) under Actinomyces sp. oral taxon B78. Its description in RNAcentral is "bacterial SSU rRNA". It matches the Rfam family "Bacterial small subunit ribosomal RNA", at positions 28 to 470 of the family's 1533-position model. The record is from RNAcentral. Lineage: Bacteria; Bacillati; Actinomycetota; Actinomycetes; Actinomycetales; Actinomycetaceae.
GACGAACGCUGGCGGCGUGCUUAACACAUGCAAGUCGAACGGUGAAGGGAUCAGCUUGCUGGUUCUGGAUGAGUGGCGAACGGGUGAGUAACACGUGAGUAACCUGCCCCCUUCUUCUGGAUAACCGCAUGAAAGUGUGGCUAAUACGGGAUAUUCUGGGUCUGUCGCAUGGCGGGCCCGGGAAAGAUGCGCCUUUGGGUGUUUUUGGUGGGGGAUGGGCUCGCGGCCUAUCAGCUUGUUGGUGGGGUGAUGGCCUACCAAGGCGGUGACGGGUAGCCGGCCUGAGAGGGUGGACGGUCACACUGGGACUGAGACACGGCCCAGACUCCUACGGGAGGCAGCAGUGGGGAAUAUUGCACAAUGGGCGCAAGCCUGAUGCAGCGACGCCGCGUGAGGGAUGGAGGCCUUCGGGUUGUAAACCUCUUUCGCCAGUGAAGCAGGCCUGCUCCUUGUGGGUGG